This 237-nucleotide long non-coding RNA is filed under the name Carica papaya (papaya). Its description in RNAcentral is "long non-coding RNA (CPAP_LNC006533)". The record is from RNAcentral. Lineage: Eukaryota; Viridiplantae; Streptophyta; Magnoliopsida; Brassicales; Caricaceae.
GUUCUUCAUUGCUCGUUCAAUAUGCAUCUGCUGGAAAAAAGGAUUUUCAAUUAUGUCAAGCCAGUCUCAUUUCUUCAUCAAUAACUUAUAUUUAAUGGUUGUUAAGUAAGGUGGUGGAAUUGCAUUUUUGGAGGUGGUACUCCUGGAGAUUGAGCAUUUUAAAGUUAUUGUAGUGCUAGUUCACAUUUCAAGAAAAGAGAUGUCAUGGUGUUAGUUGCUGCAUAUGCAAAGGAGAAU